RNAcentral lists this ribosomal RNA (551 nucleotides) under uncultured bacterium. RNAcentral describes it as "bacterial SSU rRNA". It matches the Rfam family "Bacterial small subunit ribosomal RNA", at positions 355 to 895 of the family's 1533-position model. The record is from RNAcentral.
UAGGGAAUCUUCGGCAAUGGGGGCAACCCUGACCGAGCAACGCCGCGUGAGUGAAGAAGGUUUUCGGAUCGUAAAGCUCUGUUGUAAGUCAAGAACGAGUGUGAGAGUGGAAAGUUCACACUGUGACGGUAGCUUACCAGAAAGGGACGGCUAACUACGUGCCAGCAGCCGCGGUAAUACGUAGGUCCCGAGCGUUGUCCGGAUUUAUUGGGCGUAAAGCGAGCGCAGGCGGUUUGAUAAGUCUGAAGUUAAAGGCUGUGGCUCAACCAUAGUUCGCUUUGGAAACUGUCAAACUUGAGUGCAGAAGGGGAGAGUGGAAUUCCAUGUGUAGCGGUGAAAUGCGUAGAUAUAUGGAGGAACACCGGUGGCGGAAGCGGCUCUCUGGUCUGUAACUGACGCUGAGGCUCGAAAGCGUGGGGAGCGAACAGGAUUAGAUACCCUGGUAGUCCACGCCGUAAAACGAUGAGUGCUAGGUGUUGGGUCCUUUCCGGGAUUCAGUGCCGCAGCUAACGCAUUAANCACUCCGCCUGGGGGAGUACGACCGCAAGGUU